CCUACUGUGGUGUAGUAGUUUGAGCACCUGACUACAACUCAGGAGACCAGGGUUCGAAUCCCCACUCAGCUGUG
This is a non-coding RNA of Phrynosoma platyrhinos (Desert horned lizard), 74 nucleotides long. Lineage: Eukaryota; Metazoa; Chordata; Lepidosauria; Squamata; Phrynosomatidae. The record is from the annotation of a GenBank genome assembly.